UACGGAGGGUGCAAGCGUUAUCCGGAUUCACUGGGUUUAAAGGGUGCGUAGGUGGGUUGGUAAGUCAGUGGUGAAAUCUCCAAGCUUAACUUGGAAACUGCCGUUGAUACUAUCAAUCUUGAAUCUCGUGGAGGUAAGCGGAAUAUGUCAUGUAGCGGUGAAAUGCUUAGAUAUGACAUAGAACACCGAUAGCGAAGGCAGCUUGCUACACGAGUAUUGACACUGAGGCACGAAAGCGUGGGGAUCAAACAGGAUUAGAAACCCGUUGUAGU
Molecule: ribosomal RNA, 272 nt
Filed under: uncultured bacterium
Lineage: Bacteria
Description: partial 16S ribosomal RNA
Rfam family: Bacterial small subunit ribosomal RNA
Source: RNAcentral